Molecule: ribosomal RNA, 439 nt
Filed under: uncultured bacterium
Lineage: Bacteria
Description: partial 16S ribosomal RNA
Rfam family: Bacterial small subunit ribosomal RNA
Source: RNAcentral
CCUACGGGAGGCAGCAGUGGGGAAUAUUGCACAAUGGGGAAACCCUGAUGCAGCGACGCCGCGUGAGUGAAGAAAUAUUUCGGUAUGUAAAGCUCUAUCAGCCGGGAAGAAAAUUACCGUUCCUGAUUAAGAACCCCCCGCUAACUACGUGCCAGCAGACGCCGGACAACGUAGGGGGCAAGCGUUAGUCGGAUUUACUGGGUGUAAAGGGAGCGUAGACGGCAGGACCAGUAUGGAGGGAAAUGCCGGGGCUUAACCCCGGAACCGCUUUGGAAACUGUGCAGCUAGAGUGCAGGAGAGGUAAGUGGAAGUCCUAGUGUAGCGGUGAAAUGCGUAGAUAUUAGGAGGAACACCAGUGGCGAAGGCGGCUUACUGGACUGUAACUGACGUUGAGGCUCGAAAGCGUGGGGAGCAAACAGGAUUAGAUACCCUAGUAGUC